This 214-nucleotide ribosomal RNA is filed under the name uncultured fungus. RNAcentral's name for it is "partial small subunit ribosomal RNA". The stretch from base 96 to 214 matches the Rfam family "Eukaryotic small subunit ribosomal RNA", at positions 743 to 864 of the family's 1831-position model. The record is from RNAcentral. Lineage: Eukaryota; Fungi.
GACGUGGUGCUGUGGUCAACCUUUUAGGAUUGUACUGGAGGGCCUAGUCUUUUUUUCUAGAAGAGCUAUUAGCCUUAACGGGUGUGUAGAGAUUUCUAGGACGUUUACUUUGAAGAAAUUAGAGUGUUUAAGGCAGGCUUGAGCUUGAAUACAUUAGCAUGGAAUAAUAAAAUAGGACAUUGGUUUUAUUUUGUUGGUUUUAAAGACCAAGGUA